AAUGUUUAUUUUUUUGGUACAAGUUUUCCGUUGGUGAACCAGCGGAGGGAUCAUUACCGAGUUAUCAACUCCCAAACCCCUGUGAAUAUACCUAAAACGUUGCUUCGGCGGGACCGCCCCGGCGCCCACAGCGGCCCGGAACUCAGGCGCCCGCCGGAGGACCCAAACUCUUGUCUGAAUUUAUAGUGGCAUAUUCUGAGUCUCACAAACAAAUGAAUCAAAACUUUCAACAACGGAUCUCUUGGCUCUGGCAUCGAUGAAGAACGCAGCGAAAUGCGAUAAGUAAUGUGAAUUGCAGAAUUCAGUGAAUCAUCGAAUCUUUGAACGCACAUUGCGCCCGCCAGCAUUCUGGCGGGCAUGCCUGUUCGAGCGUCAUUUCAACCCUCAAGCCCUCCCCCCCAGGCGGGCUUGGUGUUGGGGACCGGCCCCGGCCGCCCCCGAAAUACAGUGGCGACCUCGCUGCAGCCUCCUCUGCGUAGUAGCACAACCUCGCACCGGAGCGCAGAGACGGUCACGCCGUAAAACGCCCAACUUCUCAAGAGUUGACCUCGGAUCAGGUAGGAAUACCCGCUGAACUUAAGCAUAUCA
RNAcentral lists this ribosomal RNA (588 nucleotides) under Tolypocladium paradoxum. RNAcentral describes it as "eukaryotic LSU rRNA". The stretch from base 222 to 375 matches the Rfam family "5.8S ribosomal RNA". Lineage: Eukaryota; Fungi; Ascomycota; Sordariomycetes; Hypocreales; Ophiocordycipitaceae. The record is from RNAcentral.